This 745-nucleotide ribosomal RNA is filed under the name uncultured bacterium. RNAcentral's name for it is "bacterial SSU rRNA". It matches the Rfam family "Bacterial small subunit ribosomal RNA", at positions 274 to 1011 of the family's 1533-position model. The record is from RNAcentral.
CAACGAUCUCUAGCUGGUUUGAGAGGAUGACCAGCCACACNGGAAUUGAGAUACGGUCCAGACUCCUACGGGAGGCAGCAGUGGGGAAUAUUGCACAAUGAGGGAAACCUUGAUGCAGCUAUGCCGCGUGUGUGAAGAAGGCCUUCGGGUUGUAAAGCACUUUUAAUAAGGAGGAAAUCAAUAAUAAUAAUACUAUUAUUGUUUGACAUUACUUAUAGAAAAAGCACCGGCUAACUCCGUGCCAGCAGCCGCGGUAAUACGGAGGGUGCGAGCGUUAAUCGGAAUUACUGGGCGUAAAGAGUACGUAGGCGGUUUUUUAAGUCAGAUGUGAAAUCCCUAGGCUUAACUUAGGAAUUGCAUUUGAAACUGGUAGACUAGAGUCUCAUAGGGGGGGGUAGAAUUCCAGGUGUAGCGGUGAAAUGCGUAGAGAUCUGGAGGAAUACCGGUGGCGAAGGCGGCCCCCUGGGUGAAGACUGACGCUGAGGUACGAAAGCGUGGGGAGCGAACAGGAUUAGAUACCCUGGUAGUCCAGGCUGUAAACGAUGUCGAUUUGAAGGUUGUGGUCUUGAACUGUGGCUUUCGGAGCUAACGUGUUAAAUCGACCGCCUGGGGAGUACGGCCGCAAGGUUAAAACUCAAAUGAAUUGACGGGGGCCCGCACAAGCGGUGGAGCAUGUGGUUUAAUUCGAUGCAACGCGAAGGACCUUACCUACUCUUGACAUCCAAAGAACUAUGUAGAGAUAUAU